Molecule: ribosomal RNA, 783 nt
Filed under: uncultured cyanobacterium
Lineage: Bacteria; Bacillati; Cyanobacteriota
Description: bacterial SSU rRNA
Rfam family: Bacterial small subunit ribosomal RNA
Source: RNAcentral
UGCUUCACACAUGCAAGUCGAACGAGGUUCUUCGGAACCUAGUGGCGGACGGGUGAGUAACACGUGAGAAUCUGGCUUCAGGACGGGGACAACAAGGGGAAACCCUUGCUAAUACCGGAUAUGCCGAAAGGUGAAAGAUUUAUCGCCUGAAGAUGAGCUCGCGACUGAUUAGCUAGUUGGAGGGGUAAGAGCCCACCAAGGCAACGAUCAGUAGCUGGUCUGAGAGGAUGAUCAGCCCCACUGGGACUGAGACACGGCCCAGACUCCUACGGGAGGCAGCAGUGGGGAAUUUUCCGCAAUGGGCGCAAGCCUGACGGAGCAAUACCGCGUGCGGGAGGAAGGCCCUUGGGUCGUAAACCGCUUUUGUUAGGGAAGAAAAUUUGACGGUACCUAACGAAUAAGCCUCGGCUAACUCCGUGCCAGCAGCCGCGGUAAGACCGAUGAGGCAAGCGUUAUCCGGAAUUAUUGGGCGUAAAGCGUCCGCAGGUGGCAUCUCAAGUCUGCUGUCCCGCCCACGGCUCACUCUGGAUCGGCAGUGGAAACUGAGACGCUAAAAUACGGUAGGGGCAGAGGGAACUCCCAGUGUAGCGGUGAAAUGCGUAGAUAUUGUGAAGAACCCCCUAGCGAAAGCGCUCUGCUGAGCCCGUAACUGACACUCAUGGACGAAGCUAAGGGAGCGAAAGGGAUUAUAUACCCCUGUAGUCCUAACCGUAACGAUGGACACUAGGAGUUGCGCGUAUCGACCGUGCAAUGCCGUAACCAACCCGUUAAGUGUCCCGCCCU